Molecule: long non-coding RNA, 212 nt
Filed under: Spirodela polyrhiza (greater duckweed)
Lineage: Eukaryota; Viridiplantae; Streptophyta; Magnoliopsida; Alismatales; Araceae
Description: long non-coding RNA (SPOL_LNC000459)
Source: RNAcentral
UUUUGAUUGUUGAAUUUAUUAUUUUUUCUAUUUCUUCACUCUUGUUUUACUUUCUGGCAUUUAUCUACGGGAUAUGCAUGGUACAAAGUUCAUGGUACAGAACCCUUGUGAUUCAUUCUCUUGUCUUUGCUUAUCAAAAAUGGAUAUCAUUUAAAAUGGGGUUCAGGAAUAAUAUAAAUUAACCCUCUUUUAGCUCAUCUAGAAUAUGAAUU